AUGACGGUAUCUAACGAAUAAGCACCGGCUAACUCCGUGCCAGCAGCCGCGGUAAUACGGAGGGUGCAAGCGUUACUCGGAAUCACUGGGCGUAAAGAGCGCGUAGGCGGGAUAGUCAGUCAGGUGUGAAAUCCUAUGGCUUAACCAUAGAACUGCAUUUGAAACUACUAUUCUAGAGUGUGGGAGAGGUAGGUGGAAUUCUUGGUGUAGGGGUAAAAUCCGUAGAGAUCAAGAGGAAUACUCAUUGCGAAGGCGACCUGCUGGAACAUUACUGA
RNAcentral lists this ribosomal RNA (275 nucleotides) under Helicobacter pylori. Its description in RNAcentral is "partial 16S ribosomal RNA". It matches the Rfam family "Bacterial small subunit ribosomal RNA", at positions 469 to 743 of the family's 1533-position model. The record is from RNAcentral. Lineage: Bacteria; Pseudomonadati; Campylobacterota; Epsilonproteobacteria; Campylobacterales; Helicobacteraceae.